This 336-nucleotide unclassified non-coding RNA is filed under the name Hevea brasiliensis (rubber tree). Lineage: Eukaryota; Viridiplantae; Streptophyta; Magnoliopsida; Malpighiales; Euphorbiaceae. The record is from RNAcentral.
CAUUGGCUGAAUCUGUCUUUUGGCGUGCUGAGAGGCUAUUUUUUCUGAAUGGAGAGCAGGACCUGUCAGCAUUCUUACUUGUUGACUUGGGCAUUGUAAAAUAUCCUGCUUAUAACUGCAUAUUCACAGACCAGAUUUUUCCAGACAGAAGUGACCUGUUGUCUUAUGAGGAGGCCAUUGAGGUUGCACAAGUUAUGGAUGAGUCUCUUGACGAGAACAACAAUGAGUUGGUAUCAAGAUGCAUUGAGAUUUCUGCCUCUCAAGUAUCUAGCUUUGUGGAGGAAGAUAGAUCAUCACUUUUGGGGUCGAUGACUGCAUUUUUAUCUUGCUUUUCAG